Molecule: ribosomal RNA, 459 nt
Filed under: uncultured bacterium
Lineage: Bacteria
Description: partial 16S ribosomal RNA
Rfam family: Bacterial small subunit ribosomal RNA
Source: RNAcentral
CCUACGGGAGGCAGCAGUGAGGAAUAUUGGUCAAUGGCCGGAAGGCUGAACCAGCCAAGCCGCGUGAAGGACGAAGGUGCCAAGCAUUGUAAACUUCUUUUGUCAAGGGACAAAAUCAGGCUCGAGAGCCUGACCGAGGGUACUUGAAGAAAAAGCAUCGGCUAACUCCGUGCCAGCAGCCGCGGUAAUACGGAGGAUGCGAGCGUUAUCCGGAUUUAUUGGGUUUAAAGGGUGCGUAGGCGGGCUUUUAAGUCAGCGGUAAAAAUUCGGGGCUCAACCCCGUCGGGCCGUUGAAACUGGGGGCCUUGAGAGGGCGAGAGGAAGGCGGAAUGCGUGGUGUAGCGGUGAAAUGCAUAGAUAUCACGCAGAACCCCGAUUGCGAAGGCAGCCUGCCAAGCCAUGACUGACGCUGAUGCACGAAAGCGUGGGGAUCAAACAGGAUUAGAUACCCCGGUAGUC